GGUUAAGCGACUAAGCGUACACGGUGGAUGCCCUGGCAGUCAGAGGCGAUGAAGGACGUGCUAAUCUGCGAUAAGCGUCGGUAAGGUGAUAUGAACCGUUAUAACCGGCGAUUUCCGAAUGGGGAAACCCAGUGUGAUUCGUCACACUAUCAUUAACUGAAUCCAUAGGUUAAUGAGGCGAACCGGGGGAACUGAAACAUCUAAGUACCCCGAGGAAAAGAAAUCAACCGAGAUUCCCCCAGUAGCGGCGAGCGAACGGGGAGCAGCCCAGAGCCUGAAUCAGUGUGUGUGUUAGUGGAAGCGUCUGGAAAGGCGUGCGAUACAGGGUGACAGCCCCGUACACAAAAAUGCACAUACUGUGAGCUCGAUGAGUAGGGCGGGACACGUGGUAUCCUGUCUGAAUAUGGGGGGACCAUCCUCCAAGGCUAAAUACUCCUGACUGACCGAUAGUGAACCAGUACCGUGAGGGAAAGGCGAAAAGAACCCCGGCGAGGGGAGUGAAAAAGAACCUGAAACCGUGUACGUACAAGCAGUGGGAGCACGCUUAGGCGUGUGACUGCGUACCUUUUGUAUAAUGGGUCAGCGACUUAUAUUCUGUAGCAAGGUUAACCGAAUAGGGGAGCCGAAGGGAAACCGAGUCUUAACUGGGCGUUAAGUUGCAGGGUAUAGACCCGAAACCCGGUGAUCUAGCCAUGGGCAGGUUGAAGGUUGGGUAACACUAACUGGAGGACCGAACCGACUAAUGUUGAAAAAUUAGCGGAUGACUUGUGGCUGGGGGUGAAAGGCCAAUCAAACCGGGAGAUAGCUGGUUCUCCCCGAAAGCUAUUUAGGUAGCGCCUCGUGAAUUCAUCUCCGGGGGUAGAGCACUGUUUCGGCAAGGGGGUCAUCCCGACUUACCAACCCGAUGCAAACUGCGAAUACCGGAGAAUGUUAUCACGGGAGACACACGGCGGGUGCUAACGUCCGUCGUGAAGAGGGAAACAACCCAGACCGCCAGCUAAGGUCCCAAAGUCAUGGUUAAGUGGGAAACGAUGUGGGAAGGCCCAGACAGCCAGGAUGUUGGCUUAGAAGCAGCCAUCAUUUAAAGAAAGCGUAAUAGCUCACUGGUCGAGUCGGCCUGCGCGGAAGAUGUAACGGGGCUAAACCAUGCACCGAAGCUGCGGCAGCGACGCUUAUGCGUUGUUGGGUAGGGGAGCGUUCUGUAAGCCUGUGAAGGUGUGCUGUGAGGUAUGCUGGAGGUAUCAGAAGUGCGAAUGCUGACAUAAGUAACGAUAAAGCGGGUGAAAAGCCCGCUCGCCGGAAGACCAAGGGUUCCUGUCCAACGUUAAUCGGGGCAGGGUGAGUCGACCCCUAAGGCGAGGCCGAAAGGCGUAGUCGAUGGGAAACAGGUUAAUAUUCCUGUACUUGGUGUUACUGCGAAGGGGGGACGGAGAAGGCUAUGUUGGCCGGGCGACGGUUGUCCCGGUUUAAGCGUGUAGGCUGGUUUUCCAGGCAAAUCCGGAAA
Molecule: ribosomal RNA, 1504 nt
Filed under: Escherichia coli
Lineage: Bacteria; Pseudomonadati; Pseudomonadota; Gammaproteobacteria; Enterobacterales; Enterobacteriaceae
Also listed under: 1 other name
Description: partial 23S ribosomal RNA
Rfam family: Bacterial large subunit ribosomal RNA
Source: RNAcentral